GACGAACGCUGGCGGCGUGCCUAAUACAUGCAAGUUGAGCGCUGAAGGUUGGUACUUGUACCAACUGGAUGAGCAGCGAACGGGUGAGUAACGCGUGGGGAAUCUGCCUUUGAGCGGGGGACAACAUUUGGAAACGAAUGCUAAUACCGCAUAAAAACUUUAAACACAAGUUUUAAGUUUGAAAGAUGCAAUUGCAUCACUCAAAGAUGAUCCCGCGUUGUAUUAGCUAGUUGGUGAGGUAAAGGCUCACCAAGGCGAUGAUACAUAGCCGACCUGAGAGGGGGUCGGCCCCAUUUGGGAUUGGAAACCGGCCCAAACCCCUCGGGGGGGCACAAGAAGGGAAUUUUCGGAAAGGGACGAAAGUUUGACCGAGAAACGCCGGGGGAGUAAAAAAGGUUUUGGGAUCUUAAAACUCUGUUGGUAAAGAAGAACGUUGGGGGGAGGGGAAAGCUCAUCAAGGGGCGGGAACUACCCAGAAAGGGACGGCUAACUACGG
Molecule: ribosomal RNA, 496 nt
Filed under: uncultured bacterium
Lineage: Bacteria
Description: partial 16S ribosomal RNA
Rfam family: Bacterial small subunit ribosomal RNA
Source: RNAcentral